RNAcentral lists this long non-coding RNA (1786 nucleotides) under Zalophus californianus (California sea lion). RNAcentral describes it as "lncRNA (ENSZCAG00015004565.1)". Lineage: Eukaryota; Metazoa; Chordata; Mammalia; Carnivora; Otariidae. The record is from RNAcentral.
GUUACCGACACCCAGAACGUCAGCAUCCCCGUUCGUGCUGCAGGAAUAUAUUUUUCCCUGUGAAUUACCAAUAUUCCAGCUUUAUAGAGGAACAUGAGGGGCGCCUCCAGCUCCAGUCCCACCUGCACUCAGCCGAGAGCACCAUCCUCCUCCCAUCGUAGAGAAAUACGCAGUAACAGAAAUGGUUAAGUCCUUCGGUACCACCACCUGAUGAAACAUCACGCAGCCACAUAAUGUGACAACCCUUCACGUCACCUCCAGAAGCACUCCCUGAUAGACCCCAACUCCAUCUGGGUACUGGGGCUGCAAACGGGGAAGGACACAGCCCCUGCCCUCAAGGAGGUUCCAGGUAACUGUCCCAUCUGCAUGUCUCUGAAGGGCAGAGAGUCAAUUCCAUUCUAUUCAACCAACAGAAAACAAAUCCAUGGCUCCUGCCCCAAAGCCUUCCCUUCCUUCUCAUUUUCUGCUGGCCAAUCCCCCAACACAGAGGAUAUUUUUAGCACCUGGGAGGAAGUGUUCACAUGAAGGCCAUUGAGCAACAUGGAGGCAUGGCCCUGGGAUGUCCCAUGCAAGACAGUGCUUACCAAAUGUAUUUCAGACAGGCUGGCUUUGGUUCUCGUCCACACUCUUCUUCCUUCUCCCCAUUAUCCAGAUCAGAAAGGGUGGUUGGCUAUUUUGCCAGGUGCGGUUGCUUAACUUAACCUGAGGCAUGCGCAUCAUAAACAGCUCUUCCAGCGAGCAUACAGGCGGAGCUGAGAGCAGUUCAGGAACAGUGGCUACUCCCAAAGUGAAAGGACCGUGAGCUCCCAGGCAUGGGAUCCCCCCCAUUUCCAGUUCUUCAGAAGCUGGAGGCAGAAGUCACAAGAAGUGUGGAAGGCUGAUGGAUACCCCAGAGAACUGAAGAAGAGAGAAAUAAUCCCCCAGGGGGCCCAAGCCUGCAUCUAGCCCAGCUGAGCGGUCAGCUAGCUGGACAUCAUGUUUAUCAACCCAGCAGCUGGGGCUGGUUCUGUGUGGCCAAGACAGGCAGUCAAUUGUGCCUGCCUUCAUAUAUCCAUUCUUGGCUCUGCGGAUGCAGAGCUGGACCUGGCACAGGAGCACGGUGAUAAGGCCGGGGUCCUGGGUGGGGCCCAGGUCACGGUGAGCUUUGUCCAUCCUGCUGUGGAAUCUGGACUCUGUCCUGGGGCCAGGAGUGACAUGGACACUGAAAAGAGAAAGGACAUGACUGGAUGCCCUUGGGGAACAAAGGUUAUUAGUAAAUGUCCAAAUGCUCAUCAUCCAGGCAUGACUGGAAUAAAGAGUAGUCAUUUGAGGUUGACUCAAUCUAUGGGCUUGGCUUCCAGAAGCACAAAGGAAAUUUCCAUGCUUCUGGUGGUCUGGUGGCCCCCCCAUGCAUGUCAUCAAGGCCUCCAGUCUUGGCCGCAGUGGUUAUUCCAGAACGUUCGUCCUGCCAUGGAAGAAAUGGUUAUUCUGGAACGUUCGUCCUGCCAUGGAAGAAAUGUCUCGGCUGCAGCCAGACACCUGCCCCGAGCUGAGGGGGAAGCGGAGCUGUGUGACAGCUCAUCCAUGGCCCGCCAGUGUGGCUUAGCUAGGAAUAACAACACGGGUGACGUGUCACAUUGACUAUGGGCCAGGCACCGGGCCCGGCUUUGUGCGCAGCGUUUCACCCUGACAGGCCCUCGCAGGUGGGGGGCUGUCUCCCUUACAGCUGGGAAUCCGGGUGGCAGAGCUGGAGAGAUGCAGAUGGAGAAGCCUCCAGGCCCUUCUCAGGCCAAGACCUAUUCUGGUG